Molecule: ribosomal RNA, 112 nt
Filed under: Bacteroidota bacterium
Lineage: Bacteria; Pseudomonadati; Bacteroidota
Source: RNAcentral
UAUGGUGGUUUUCCCGAGGGUGUUCACCUCUUCCCAUUCCGAACAGAGAAGUUAAGUCCCUUAUGGCCGAUGGUACUGCACAACAAUGCGGGAGAGUAGGUAGCUGCCAUAU